GAUGAACGCUGGCGGCGUGCCUAAUACAUGCAAGUCGAGCGAACAGACGAGGAGUUUGCUCCUUUGACGUUAGCGGCGGACGGGUGAGUAACACGUGUAUAACCCACCUAUAAGACUGGGAUAACUUCGGGAAACCGGAUCAAACACCGUAUAAUCUAUUUAACCGUAUUGUUCAAUAGUGAAUGACGGUUCUUCUGUCACUUAUAGAUGCAUCCGCGCCGCAUUAGCUAGUUGGUAAGGUAACGGCUUACAAAGGGAACGAUGCGUAGCCGACCUGAGAGGGGGGUCGGCGACACUGGAACUGAGACAGCGUCCAGAGUCCUACGAGAGGGAGCAGAAGGGGAUGUUCCGCAUGGGGGGAAAGCAUGGCAGAGCAAGGCCGAGUGAGUGGUGAAAGUCUUCGGAUCGUAAAGCUCUGUUUUUAGGGAAAAACAAAUGUGGAAGUAAAUAAGCAGGGCUUGACGGUACCUAAUCAGAAAGCCACGGCUAACUACGUG
This 497-nucleotide ribosomal RNA is filed under the name uncultured bacterium. Its description in RNAcentral is "partial 16S ribosomal RNA". It matches the Rfam family "Bacterial small subunit ribosomal RNA", at positions 28 to 507 of the family's 1533-position model. The record is from RNAcentral.